UACGUAGGGGGCUAGCGUUAUCCGGAAUUACUGGGCGUAAAGGGUGCGUAGGUGGUUUCUUAAGUCAGAGGUGAAAGGCUACGGCUCAACCGUAGUAAGCCUUUGAAACUGGGGAACUUGAGUGCAGGAGAGGAGAGUGGGAUUCCUAGUGUAGCGGUGAAAUGCGUAGAUAUUAGGAGGAACACCAGUUGCGAAGGCGGCUCUCUGGACUGUAACUGACACUGAGGCACGAAAGCGUGGGGAGCAAACAGG
This 252-nucleotide ribosomal RNA is filed under the name uncultured bacterium. RNAcentral's name for it is "partial 16S ribosomal RNA". It matches the Rfam family "Bacterial small subunit ribosomal RNA", at positions 524 to 776 of the family's 1533-position model. The record is from RNAcentral.